Molecule: long non-coding RNA, 2978 nt
Filed under: Marmota monax (woodchuck)
Lineage: Eukaryota; Metazoa; Chordata; Mammalia; Rodentia; Sciuridae
Source: RNAcentral
GUGGAUGUGGCUUCAUCCUGUCUGUCAUGGUGAAUAGUGUACCUUUGGGUUGGCAUGUCAAGGUGCUUAUCUGUCUGCUGCAACAGGCUGCUUGGGUCAUCUCCAGGCCCAAGGACUCUUCCCCCAUGCUGUGGUACUGUGGUGGAGACCAUGAACAUGUGUUACAUUGCAUUUCUGCUGAGGAUACACCAAAAGAGUGCAUUGCUGGGACCCAGAAUCUCCAUAACAUCAAGUCCAUUAGACAAACUGUUUUUCAGAGAGGUGGCAGUUUACACAGGCUCCAUGGACAUGGUGGGUCUCAUCACUUCAUGUUCUCUCCAUUGCUUGUCAGGAGCUUCUGUGCUCACUCUUGCACUUAGUCACAGGCUUCCCUAUAUCUAUAGAAGCCAGAAUCUGGGAUAAGCCUCCCCAGGCAGCAGUGGGGACAGUGUGUCCUGUGUCUACUCAGCAGGCCAGUCCUCAGAAUGGCUUAGAAAAGGAGUCCUUGGACUCCCAUCUUGGCUGCCCCCCUUGAUAACUGUACAAUCAUGGAUGAAUUAAUUAAUCUUCCUGUGCCUCCAUGUCCUUGGGGGUGGAGCAUGGGUUAGAACAUGUGCCUCCCUGUGCUUCCAUGUCCUUGGGGGUGGAGCAUGGAUGAGAACUUGUGUCUCCCUGGGCCAUCUUGAUGAUUAAUGAGUGAACUCUGCAGAGCAGUUGGAAAAAGGCAGGUAUGCUGUAGGGGUUCCACAUCUGUGAGCCAGAACUGGAGCCUUCCCAGGGCACAGUGAUGACUAUAUUCUACAGAUGGCUUAAGAGACAGGAGUGGGGCUGAUUUCUCAUCACUGGUAUCUGGGUGUGUGACCUCUCAGGGAUGGACAGACAUGAGCCUUUCCAAGCUGAGUCCAGAUAAAGGGAUUGGCUGUUUCCAAAGACCUGUGUUCAUCUGCUGUUCAUCACAGGGACCAAAAUUCCCCACAAUAACCAUUUACAGAAGGAGAAGUUUAUUUUGACUCAUGGGUUCACAGGUCUUAGUCCAUAGUUCACCCAACUCUAUUGCUCUGGACCUAAGGGUGAGGCAGAUCGUCAUGCAUCACACAGCAGGGUAUAGGAUAAGACAGCUGUUCAGCUCAUGGCACCUGGGAAGCAGAGAGAGAUGGAGGAGCUUGGGGGGACAAAAUAUAAUCCCCAAAAGCAUGUCCCCAGUCACCUGCCUUCUUCAGCCAUGCCCAACAUGCCUAUGGUUACCACCCAGUACAGUAGUCUUCAAAUCCAUCAAAUGGAUUAAUCCACUGAUUAGGGUCAUGGUUCUUGUAUUGUAAUCAUUUCAGCUCUGAACACUGCUACCUUGCCUAAUAUGAGCUUUUGGGGAGACACAUCACAUCCAAACCAUAACAAGGCUGGUUAUGUUGUAGGAAAAUUAGUUUCUCUUUCAAGAGCAAGAGUGCUUCCUCUCCAUAAGAUGUUCAGGGGGAAGAAGCAUGGUGGACAGCAACCGGCUGGGAAAAGAGCACAUGGGCUUCUGGUCCAUGCUCACCUGGCCUUCUGACUAGUGGAUGGCCAUGGUGGCCAGUGGUCCUUACCUUUUGCAGAAAAUGCAGAUGAAAUGGCUUCAGGAUUUCAGGCAGCUUAGGAUGUGAUUGUACUCAAGAUGAGUGGAGGGUUCCAGGACCCAGCAAUGGGGAAGGCCUCAGCCCCUCCAGCACUGGUUCUUUUCAAAUUCAUUUUAAAUCUGAUCACAUCAGGAGUAAGUUCCAGAGUAGCAAUUAACAUCUGUAAAUCUUCCAUUGGGAAAAAAGAGAAAGCUGGCCCUGCCCAGAGCCACCCUAGCCCCUGUCUGCAUGGAAUGUACCAUCAGUGUUUGUCUUCCUUGGCUAGGACAUGCUUCUUCCUGGCCAACAUCUGAAGGCUGUGUCUGGGUAUCAUCCACGGGGCAGGAGACUGUGCAGCUACUCUUAGAUGAAAUCCAGUAGAGUCAUAUCAGCCAUGAAAACCCAUCAGAAGCCUGACAAGUGAAGGCCUGCAUACCUAACCCUGUGCAUCCAUCAUUUAUGCACCUGCACCAGACACAGUGAUGCUCAUCAUAUGACAAAGGACACACAUGCAAACUCAAAUACAGUAUCUUUUUAAGUCCUUUCUUUCUUACAAUUUAACCCACACAUCAUUAAAUCUGCCCUUGUAAAGCCAUCCUCUCUCUCUCACCUCAGGAUAUACAUCCUGUGCACAGCCUCAGAGGUCUUAGUAAAAGCACGGAGCUGUGCAGCCAUCUCCACCAUCUAGUUUCAGAGCAUCUCCAUCCCCAGAGCAUGCCAUACACCUGUUAGCAUCUCUCUCAAGUCCUUCAUUCUCCAAACACCAUACUGCUCUGUCUGCAUGGAUGUGCUUACAGUGGACAUUUCAUCCAGGUGGGAUUGAAGAAAAAUGCUGCUUGUGUGUCUUAGAAUAUUUUUUAGAAUAUUUCUAAGGUUUAUCUAUGCCAAAGUAUGGAUGACUUCAUUCAUUUUUUAUGUAUAAUAUUGCACUAGAUGGAGAGAGCACAUUUUGUUCAUUAAUUAAGCAUGUGAUGGUAUACUUGAAGGAGACAGAGGCAAACAGAUACAGCAGCAGAGAAAUAGCAAUGAUACUCAGAGAGAGAGAGAGAGAGAGAGAGAGAGAGAGAGAGAGAGAGAGAGACAGAGUUUCCGUACAACCCUGUCACUCUGGACUCCUUCCUUUCUUCCCACUUUCCAGAAUCUUUUCUUAUAUCCUGUACAUGUGUCCAAACUGAGCCCAUGUCUGGGUGUCUGGAAAGGAUCACCCACAGGUCUUUUUCCAAUCCCACCAGGCCUAUAGGCAUGGGAUGGGGAGCAGAUACUGAUAACCCAAAGGUAGCAAGGAGGGAUAGAGUCCCAUUCAGGGAGAAGAGUCACCUCCAUCACCCAUGUUGCUCUUGCAUCUUGGGCCAUAUGCCACUGAAAUGAAACUCAAAGAUUUUGUACCAGAAACCAUCAGGAGAGUUUAAU